GACUAGCCCUGAUGGCAGCGGCAUCCUUUUGUGGAUCCCUAUUUUUCAUCGGGAGGAACAAAAAAUAAAGCGUACAGCAGGAACAAGG
Molecule: small RNA, 88 nt
Filed under: Flavobacterium saliperosum
Lineage: Bacteria; Pseudomonadati; Bacteroidota; Flavobacteriia; Flavobacteriales; Flavobacteriaceae
Description: Flavo-1 RNA
Rfam family: Flavo-1 RNA
Source: RNAcentral